GAACGCGAAGAACCUUACCUAAGCUUGACAUCCCUCGGACAGGUGUUUAAUCACACCCUUCCUUCGGGACUGAGGUGACAGGUGGUGCAUGGUUGUCGUCAGCUCGUGUCGUGAGAUGUUGGGUUAAGUCCCGCAACGAGCGCAACCCUUGUCUUUAGUUGCCAGCAUUCAGUUGGGCACUCUAGAGAGACUGCCAGGGAUAACCUGAGGAAGGUGGGGAUGACGUCAAAUCAUCAUGCCCCUUAUGCUUAGGGCUACACACGUGCUACAAUGGGUGGUACAGAGGGUUGCCAAACCGCGAGGUGGAGCCAAUCCCUUAAAGCCAUUCUCAGUUCGGAUUGUAGGCUGAAACUCGCCUACAUGAAGCUGGAGUUACUAGUAAUCGCAGAUCAGAAUGCUGCGGUGAAUGCGUUCCCGGGUCUUGUACACACC
RNAcentral lists this ribosomal RNA (432 nucleotides) under uncultured bacterium. RNAcentral's name for it is "bacterial SSU rRNA". It matches the Rfam family "Bacterial small subunit ribosomal RNA", at positions 957 to 1391 of the family's 1533-position model. The record is from RNAcentral.